UCGAGAUAGGGUCUCUCGGGGCCCGACCUCCAACCCUUUGUCUACCUUACCACUGUUGCCUCGGCGGGACGCCGGCGUCUUUACAGGCGUCGCCGUCGGCCUUUUUCGGCUCUCGAGUGCCCGCCGCCGGGCCCCUUUCAAAACCUUUUUUAAAUCAAGUGUUCUGAAUGCAAGUUAAAUACUUCA
RNAcentral lists this unclassified non-coding RNA (186 nucleotides) under uncultured fungus. Its description in RNAcentral is "sequence contains ITS1, 5.8S rRNA gene". Lineage: Eukaryota; Fungi. The record is from RNAcentral.